GGCCCACUCUGCUCUCCUCCCCGGGCACCCCCGCCUGCCACCCUGCAGGGCGCCCAGCACACAGUGAGUGCCGGGGGAGACUGUGGACUCCCGGCUUCCAGUCCUGGCACCCACCCUUCCCCGGGCGCUGAGUGUGUGAUUGGAGGCGAGUCCGGUCUGCAGAAGGGGUCUCUGAGCGGCCUUGGCGAAGCUCGCGCGCCGGGGCCGGCGUUGAGACAAAGCCGGCAGCUGCUGGGGGGGGGGGUGCCUUCAUGCUCCCCGAGCCCAGCCACGAGCGCCGGGGUCAGAUGGGGCCACAGAGAGGUGGUGGCCGGGCAGCCGUGUCUCGGGCUCCUCCCCCUGUGGUCCAGGCUCCCCAGUCUCUCGGCCGCUGCAGAUAGGUGGAGGUGGCGCUGUCUGCUCAGCGCUGUGAGAGCUUCAGGCCUUCGUCCUCACCCGGCCUGUGCCCAGGAACUGCCCCCAGGGGCACCCUCGAGGCCAGUGCCACAGUGGGAGAGGCAGCCAGACAGACGCCCGGAGGGGCCCAGUGGGGAGGGGCUGUGGGUCCCGCCUGGUCCCAAGCCCUGUCCCUUGAGGGCUGCCCGCGCCCCAGGAGAGCUGACGGGUGCCAGCUGUCCACGCACUCCCGGGCAGCGCCCGGUGCCCUGGGCCCUGCCACAGCCUGUGGGUCUUCUGUUCCCUGCUGGCAUCUCAGAGCCCAGGUCCGUGCUGCCCCACUGCAGCCCCUGUGCCCGCCCUGGUGCCUGGCACACAGCAGGGGCUCCGGGAUACCCCCCAGGCAGGGGUGUGGCUCCGACCCCUAAGAGAGGCCCCUCUGCGUGUGUUGGCCGCUGCCAUCCCGCCCCGCCCGCCGCACUCCAUCCCCGCACAGGAGCUCCGGGGAGCGGCCGUUUCCCGAGAUUGAAGGCAAAAUUGCUUGAAAGCCUGCGCUUUUAUCCACCAAUUUGUGGCCACUUAGCAGGGCCAGGCGGAGGGGAGCCGGGGCCCCGGCUGCGCUGUCGGUGCGGAGGCGCCCAGCGCAGCAAACGCUGCUUUGUCCUUCCCAGACGGCUCAGGACACAGGGCGGGCGUGAGCUGCGGGGUCCGGCCCCGUGGCGUGGGCCCGGAGGGUCGGACAACAGCCAGCCUGUGGCAGGAGCCACAGAGGUGAGGUGCAGGGGAGGCUGCCCACUGGACAGCGCCCAGCCCUGGGGCCUGGGGUUUGCAGGCCCCAGCAUCCCUGGGCUCGGUCCUCCCCCGGUCACCAAGGGGUGUCCGCACAAGAAGGCAGGGUCAGAAUCCCAGGGGGAGGCGGGAGAGCUGGGGUGGGGGCAGGGCUGGCCUCGGGAGGCAGGAAGUUCUGCGGGGAGUUUGGAGAAAGAAAGCACAGGGAGCUGCGGGGGCGGGAGGAGGAGGAGGACGGGUUUUGUGCUGAGCUGGCCUCACCGCUGA
RNAcentral lists this long non-coding RNA (1431 nucleotides) under Oryctolagus cuniculus (rabbit). RNAcentral describes it as "lncRNA (ENSOCUG00000036743.1)". The record is from RNAcentral. Lineage: Eukaryota; Metazoa; Chordata; Mammalia; Lagomorpha; Leporidae.